This 296-nucleotide long non-coding RNA is filed under the name Elaeis guineensis (African oil palm). RNAcentral describes it as "long non-coding RNA (EGUI_LNC026993)". Lineage: Eukaryota; Viridiplantae; Streptophyta; Magnoliopsida; Arecales; Arecaceae. The record is from RNAcentral.
AUAGAUCAGAAAGAGAAGAAAAACCUAAUGUGGAUGAGGCCUAUGAGCUGUUUACUGUUUUCUUUUGUCAGCUUAUAAUAGUUGAUGUGUGUGCGAAUGUGAGGACAACUCAGAAAUUUUGUCGGGGCAGUUUGGGAACGGGAGGGCAGAUUGGUCAACCAAAAGAAGUGGUGAAACACUGGAAGCAAGCCUAGACCCUAGCCCUAGGUCCACAAGGAGGAGAACAGCUGCUGAGAGAGGGAAGGGCGUUGAGACAGCUGGCGAUGACGAAGAUUUGGGACGCGGAAUCUCUGGCC